AUGAAUUCCUCCUUCAUGAUGAACCAGGCCAGCCUGGAAGAUGGUCACCAUGACCUCUUCUGCCUGGCUGACUCGACAGGGAUUAAAUGGAAAAGAUAUGUAUGGCAAGGCCCAACUUCUGCCCCUAUUAUGUUUCCCACGACUCAAGGUGACCCUAAUUUGAACAGCUUUAAUCGCUGCCUUAAGACAGAUAUAGCUGGUGUUUGGCAGCAAGAUCAAAUACCUAGAAGAAGAGAAUUGUCAAUAUUUUGGUGGGGCAAAGACCCCAAUUUUGCUGACCUUAUUUACCAGGAUUUAACAGACGAGGAGGAUGGAGUAUGGGAGAAAAGACUUUACUCUGAAUGCCAUACUCUGCUUUUCAAAGCAGUUCACAGUCUGUUGGGAUGGUGUUUAAUGAACCAGAACUUUGUAUGUAUUGGCAAGUGGUUUGUACAGUCUCAUGAAGAAGAUUAAAAACCUAUAAAUAAAAGUGAAUGAUUGUCCUGCUCUUUCACCUUUUUCUUGCAUGGAGACAUCAAUGUUUGUACCAAUGUGGAAAUUAGCCAACAUCAACCUGUAUACCUUCUUAGUGAAGAUCACAUCACCCUUGCUCAACAGCUUAAUAGCCCAUUUCCAGUUAUCUUAAGCCAAUUUGGACU
RNAcentral lists this long non-coding RNA (638 nucleotides) under Homo sapiens (human). RNAcentral describes it as "non-protein coding lnc-SLC36A2-1:1". Lineage: Eukaryota; Metazoa; Chordata; Mammalia; Primates; Hominidae. The record is from RNAcentral.